GACGAACGCUGGCGGCGUGCUUAACACAUGCAAGUCGAACGGAAAGGCCCUGCUUUUGUGGGGUGCUCGAGUGGCGAACGGGUGAGUAACACGUGAGUAACCUGCCCUUGACUUUGGGAUAACUUCAGGAAACUGGGGCUAAUACCGGAUAGGAGCUCCUGCUGCAUGGUGGGGGUUGGAAAGUUUCGGCGGUUGGGGGUGGACUCGCGGCUUAUCAGCUUGUUGGUGGGGUAGUGGCUUACCAAGGCGUUGACGGGUAGCCGGCCUGCGAGGGUGACCGGCCACAUUGGGACUGGGAUGCGGCCCAGACUCCUACGGGGGGCAGCAGUGGGGAAUAUUGCACAAUGGGCGGAAGCCUGAUGCAGCAACGCCGCGUGCGGUAUGACGGCCUUCGGGUUGUAAACCGCUUUCGCCUGUGACGAAGCGUGAGUGACGGUAAUGGGUAAAGAAGCACCGGCUAACUACGUG
This 468-nucleotide ribosomal RNA is filed under the name uncultured bacterium. RNAcentral's name for it is "partial 16S ribosomal RNA". It matches the Rfam family "Bacterial small subunit ribosomal RNA", at positions 28 to 507 of the family's 1533-position model. The record is from RNAcentral.